Long non-coding RNA from Nicrophorus vespilloides, 201 nucleotides. RefSeq lists it as uncharacterized. The transcript is spliced from 3 exons. The record is from RefSeq and is a predicted model, not a curated record. Lineage: Eukaryota; Metazoa; Arthropoda; Insecta; Coleoptera; Silphidae.
AAAGAGUGUUUCGCACAACUGCCAUAACCUUCACAAAGAAUUAUUCAAAAGCGAUGUUUUAAUAAAAGAAUCGCCGAAGUCGCUUUCACUGGCCGUCGACUUUUUCAAUUCGAAACGUGAUCUCAAAGAGAAAUAAACCAAUCCAAUAAGACUCUGAAAAUUUAAAACGUUCCUUAUCGAAAACCGACGCACUUAUCGGAC